AUAUCAAUAAGCGGAGGAAAAGAAACUAACAAGGAUUCCCCUAGUAACGGCGAGUGAAGAGGGGAAGAGCCCAAGAUUGAAAGCUGGCGUCUUCGGCGUCCGCAUUGUAAUCUCAAGAAGUGUUUUCCGCUUCGGACCAUGCCUAAGUCCCUUGGAAAAGGGCAUCAUAGAGGGUGAUAAUCCCGUACAUGGCAUGGAGCGCCCGAAGCUUUGUGAUACGCUUUCUAAGAGUCGAGUUGUUUGGGAAUGCAGCUCAAAAUGGGUGGUAAAUGCCAUCUAAGGCUAAAUAUUGGGGAGAGACCGAUAGCGAACAAGUACAGUGAUGGAAAGAUGAAAAGAACUUUGAAAAGAGAGUUAAACAGUACUGAAAUUGCCAAAAGGGAAGGGUAGGAGGUCAGAGAUGCUUCGGGAUUCGCCUUGCUUUUGCUUGGUGUUUUUCCCAAAUUGCAGCAACGUCGUUUUGGGCGCUGGAGAAGGGUGGAAGGAACGUGGCACCCCUCGGGGUGUGUUAUAGCCUUCUACUGGAUACGUGACCGAGACCGAGGACAGCAGCGUACUCGCAGAGCGGGC
This 570-nucleotide ribosomal RNA is filed under the name Ustilago striiformis. Its description in RNAcentral is "LSU rRNA". It matches the Rfam family "Eukaryotic large subunit ribosomal RNA", at positions 40 to 631 of the family's 3401-position model. The record is from RNAcentral. Lineage: Eukaryota; Fungi; Basidiomycota; Ustilaginomycetes; Ustilaginales; Ustilaginaceae.